RNAcentral lists this ribosomal RNA (281 nucleotides) under uncultured prokaryote. RNAcentral's name for it is "partial 16S ribosomal RNA". It matches the Rfam family "Bacterial small subunit ribosomal RNA", at positions 524 to 803 of the family's 1533-position model. The record is from RNAcentral.
UACGUAGGGGGCUAGCGUUAUCCGGAAUUACUGGGCGUAAAGGGUGCGUAGGUGGUUUCUUAAGUCAGAGGUGAAAGGCUACGGCUCAACCGUAGUAAGCCUUUGAAACUGGGAAACUUGAGUGCAGGAGAGGAGAGUGGAAUUCCUAGUGUAGCGGUGAAAUGCGUAGAUAUUAGGAGGAACACCAGUUGCGAAGGCGGCUCUCUGGACUGUAACUGACACUGAGGCACGAAAGCGUGGGGAGCAAACAGGAUUAGAUACCUCGGUAGUCCCUGAGCGGG